GACGAACGCUGGCGGCGUGCUUAACACAUGCAAGUCGAGCGGUAAGGCCCUUUCGGGGUUACACGAGCGGCGAACGGGUGAGUAACACGUGGGUGACCUGCCCUCAGCUCUGGGAUAAGCCUGGGAAACCGGGUCUAAUACUGGAUAUGACUCCAUGACGCAUGUUGUGGGGUGGAAAGCCUUGUGCGGCUGAGGAUGGGCCCGCGGCCUAUCAGCUUGUUGGUGGGGUGANGGCCUACCAAGGCGACGACGGGUAGCCGGCCUGAGAGGGCGACCGGCCACACUGGGACUGAGACACGGCCCAGACUCCUACGGGAGGCAGCAGUGGGGAAUCUUGCGCAAUGGGCGAAAGCCUGACGCAGCGACGCCGCGUGAGGGAUGACGGCCU
This 388-nucleotide ribosomal RNA is filed under the name uncultured bacterium. Its description in RNAcentral is "bacterial SSU rRNA". It matches the Rfam family "Bacterial small subunit ribosomal RNA", at positions 28 to 417 of the family's 1533-position model. The record is from RNAcentral.